Molecule: ribosomal RNA, 497 nt
Filed under: uncultured bacterium
Lineage: Bacteria
Description: partial 16S ribosomal RNA
Rfam family: Bacterial small subunit ribosomal RNA
Source: RNAcentral
GACGAACGCUGGCGGCGUGCCUAAUACAUGCAAGUAGAACGCUGAAGCGAGGAGCUUGCUCUUCUUGGAUGAGUUGCGAACGGGUGAGUAACGCGUAGGUAACCUGCCUUGUAGCGGGGGAUAACUAUUGGAAACGAUAGCUAAUACCGCAUAACAAUGGAUGACACAUGUCAUUUAUUUGAAAGGGGCAAUUGCUCCACUACAAGAUGGACCUGCGUUGUAUUAGCUAGUAGGUGAGGUAAUGGCUCACCUAGGCGACGAUACAUAGCCGACCUGAGAGGGUGAUCGGCCACACUGGGACUGAGACACGGCCCAGACUCCUACGGGAGGCAGCAGUAGGGAAUCUUCGGCAAUGGGGGCAACCCUGACCGAGCAACGCCGCGGGAGGGAAGAAGGUUUUCGGAUCGUAAAGCUCUGUUGUAAGUCAAGAACGGGUGUGAGAGUGGAAAGUUCACACUGUGACGGUAGCUUACCAGAAAGGGACGGCUAACUACGUG